UGCAGUCGAGCGGAACGAGUUAUCUGAACCUUCGGGGGACGAUAACGGCGUCGAGCGGCGGACGGGUGAGUAAUGCCUAGGAAAUUGCCCUGAUGUGGGGGAUAACCAUUGGAAACGAUGGCUAAUACCGCAUGAUGCCUACGGGCCAAAGAGGGGGACCUUCGGGCCUCUCGCGUCAGGAUAUGCCUAGGUGGGAUUAGCUAGUUGGUGAGGUAAGGGCUCACCAAGGCGACGAUCCCUAGCUGGUCUGAGAGG
RNAcentral lists this ribosomal RNA (255 nucleotides) under Vibrio sp. RNAcentral's name for it is "partial 16S ribosomal RNA". It matches the Rfam family "Bacterial small subunit ribosomal RNA", at positions 60 to 299 of the family's 1533-position model. Lineage: Bacteria; Pseudomonadati; Pseudomonadota; Gammaproteobacteria; Vibrionales; Vibrionaceae. The record is from RNAcentral.